Molecule: ribosomal RNA, 333 nt
Filed under: uncultured Anaerolineaceae bacterium
Lineage: Bacteria; Bacillati; Chloroflexota; Anaerolineae; Anaerolineales; Anaerolineaceae
Description: bacterial SSU rRNA
Rfam family: Bacterial small subunit ribosomal RNA
Source: RNAcentral
ACAGGUGUUGCAUGGCUGUCGUCAGCUCGUGUCGUGAGAUGUUCGGUUAAGUCCGCUAACGAGCGCAACCCUCGUCGUAUGUUAUAUGUGUCAUACGAGACUGCCGGUAAAAGCCGGAGGAAGGUGAGGAUGAUGUCAAGUCAGCAUGACCUUUAUAUCCAGGGCUACACACACGCUACAAUGGUCUGUACAAUGGGUAGCCAAGCCGCGAGGCGGAGCCAAUCCUGAAAGCAGGCCUCAGUUCAGAUUGCAGUCUGCAACUCGACUGCAUGAAGUUGGAGUUGCUAGUAAACGCAGGUCAGCUAUACUGCGUUGAAUACGUUCCCGGGGUUU